RNAcentral lists this ribosomal RNA (191 nucleotides) under Halobacillus dabanensis. Its description in RNAcentral is "partial 16S ribosomal RNA". It matches the Rfam family "Bacterial small subunit ribosomal RNA", at positions 1332 to 1521 of the family's 1533-position model. The record is from RNAcentral. Lineage: Bacteria; Bacillati; Bacillota; Bacilli; Caryophanales; Bacillaceae.
UCGCUAGUAAUCGCGGAUCAGCAUGCCGCGGUGAAUACGUUCCCGGGCCUUGUACACACCGCCCGUCACACCACGAGAGUUGGCAACACCCGAAGUCGUUGAGGUAACCUUUUUGGAGCCAGCCGCCGAAGGUGGGGCUAAUGAUUGGGGUGAAGUCGUAACAAGGUAGCCGUAUCGGAAGGUGCGGCUGG